RNAcentral lists this ribosomal RNA (419 nucleotides) under uncultured bacterium. Its description in RNAcentral is "bacterial SSU rRNA". It matches the Rfam family "Bacterial small subunit ribosomal RNA", at positions 31 to 495 of the family's 1533-position model. The record is from RNAcentral.
GUACGCUGGCGGCACGCCUAACACAUGCAAGUCGAACGGAGUAGCAAUACUUAGUGGCAGACGGGUGAGUAACAUGUGGGUAUCUACCCUGUGGCCUGGAAUAACACGAGGAAACUUGUGCUAAUACCAGAUAAGUCUUUACGGAGAAAGCUUUAUGCACCAUUGGAUGAGCCCGCACUUGAUUAGUUAGUUGGUAGGGUAAUGGCCUACCAAGACUUUGAUCAAUAGCUGAUUUGAGAGGAUGAUCAGCCACAUUGGGACUGAGACACGGCCCAAACUCCUACGGGAGGCAGCAGUGGGGAAUCUUGCACAAUGGAGGAAACUCUGAUGCAGCGAUGCCGCGUGAGUGAAGAAGGCCUUUGGGUUGUAAAGCUCUUUCGUCGGGGAAGAAAAUGACUGUACCCGAAUAAGAAGGUCCG